CCUACGGGUGGCAGCAGUGGGGGAUAUUGCACAAUGGGGGGAACCCUGAUGCAGCGACGCCGCGUGGGUGAAGAAGCGCCUCGGCGCGUAAAGCCCUGUCAGCAGGGAAGAAAAUGACGGUACCUGAAGAAGAAGCCCCGGCUAACUACGUGCCAGCAGCCGCGGUAAUACGUAGGGGGCAAGCGUUAUCCGGAUUUACUGGGUGUAAAGGGGGCGCAGACGGCGAUGCAAGCCAGGAGUGAAAGCCCGGGGCCCAACCCCGGGACUGCUCUUGGAACUGUUUUUCUUGAGUACUGGAGAGGCAGACGGAAUUCCUAGUGUAGCGGUGAAAUGCGUAGAUAUUAGGAGGAACACCAGUGGCGAAGGCGGUCUGCUGGACAGCAACUGACGCUGAGGCGCGAAAGCGUGGGGAGCAAACAGGAUUAGAUACCCUUGUAGUC
RNAcentral lists this ribosomal RNA (440 nucleotides) under uncultured bacterium. Its description in RNAcentral is "partial 16S ribosomal RNA". It matches the Rfam family "Bacterial small subunit ribosomal RNA", at positions 338 to 795 of the family's 1533-position model. The record is from RNAcentral.